RNAcentral lists this microRNA precursor (86 nucleotides) under Branchiostoma floridae (Florida lancelet). RNAcentral describes it as "mir-2060 microRNA precursor family". It matches the Rfam family "mir-2060 microRNA precursor family". The record is from Rfam by way of RNAcentral. Lineage: Eukaryota; Metazoa; Chordata; Leptocardii; Amphioxiformes; Branchiostomatidae.
GAGUGUGGAUGGUGUUCAGCACGAAGGACAGUCAUGUUUGUCUGAGUGUGGAUGGUGUUCAGCACCAAGGACAGGCAUGUUCGCGU